This is a long non-coding RNA of Nicotiana attenuata, 942 nucleotides long. RefSeq lists it as uncharacterized. Lineage: Eukaryota; Viridiplantae; Streptophyta; Magnoliopsida; Solanales; Solanaceae. The record is from RefSeq and is a predicted model, not a curated record. The transcript has 3 exons.
CAUAUGCAAGCGACAAAGCGCGGGUAUACUAAAAAGAAACAAAGAAACAGAGAAGCGAGAGGCAGAUCUAUUGCUACAAAAUAAAUUCAUUGAUCUGCGGUUUUGUUUGGGAAUAAGAAUAAUGGGAAAGGUGGAAUCAAACGAAGACGCCUCAAAUCAGAAGAAGAGGGUGAAGAGAAACCAUGGAUCCACCAAAUUCUUUGUGUUUAUAGAUUAUGUAUUCCUCUUUGCAUUCUUUUGUUUCCUCUGCUACAUUCUCUUCAAAAUGGUCGGGAUUUGAUAUAUCCAGGUUUAAUGAUAAGCUAUAUCCAGAACAAUAGAAUCCAAGUUCCUAUGAAAUGCAAAACUGCUCGUUUAUUCCAGUUUAGAGAUUCCUUCCUUCUUAUUUUGGACACAGAGAUAUGGAGAGGAAUGAAGUUGUGGCACUGGUGAUCUAUGUCAAAUUCAUCUGUGCCACGCGAGUUACUUAUUUAAUGUACUUAAUAUAUAUGGCAUGAGUAGCUUUCUUGGUGUGCCUGAUCACACAAUUUACAUGCUGAUAUGGCGCUGAAAAUACUCUGAUGCUCAAUUGACAACUACUAGGAUCUCCUUUGCUGUUCUGAAAUUAUUUUCAAUCUUUUCAACUUGGGCACAAGUGAAAUAUACCAUAUUGAUGGAGACUCAAAAUCAUCUAUUUCAGUUUGAUAUUAUUUCCAAUAAGUAUAUCAGCCAAGGCAAAGGUUUAACUAAUGAUAUUUUGGUCAAAAUCUGCCCUAAGGAUAUUUAGCUUGAUAUGGCAUUAAGGAAAAAGUCGGUCGAGGUCGACCAGGAAGCAGCAAGAUUCAUGGCCGAGAUGUCAACCAUAACCGAGGUCGAGCAUUGUGUAAAGAACAUUAACGGCUAGUGUUUGAAAUAUGAUAUUAAAGAGAAUAUUAGGGUUUGUUAGAGACAUGUCUUGUAUAA